GGCUUAACACAUGCAAGUCGAGCGGUAACAGGAGAAGCUUGCUUCUCGCUGACGAGCGGCGGACGGGUGAGUAAUACUUAGGAAUCUACCUAGUAGUGGGGGAUAGCACGGGGAAACUCGUAUUAAUACCGCAUACGACCUACGGGAGAAAGGGGGCAGUUUACUGCUCUCGCUAUUAGAUGAGCCUAAGUCGGAUUAGCUAGAUGGUGGGGUAAAGGCCUACCAUGGCGACGAUCUGUAGCUGGUCUGAGAGGAUGAUCAGCCACACCGGGACUGAGACACGGCCCGGACUCCUACGGGAGGCAGCAGUGGGGAAUAUUGGACAAUGGGGGAAACCCUGAUCCAGCCAUGCCGCGUGUGUGAAGAAGGCCUUUUGGUUGUAAAGCACUUUAAGCAGUGAAGAAGACUCCRUGGUUAAUACCCAYGGACGAUGACAUUAGCUGCAGAAUAAGCACCGGCUAACUCUGUGCCAGCAGCCGCGGUAAUACAGAGGGUGCAAGCGUUAAUCGGAAUUACUGGGCGUAAAGGGAGCGUAGGUGGCUCUAUAAGUCAGAUGUGAAAUCCCCGGGCUUAACCUGGGAACUGCAUCUGAAACUGUAGAGCUAGAGUAUGUGAGAGGAAGGUAGAAUUCCAGGUGUAGCGGUGAAAUGCGUAGAGAUCUGGAGGAAUACCGAUGGCGAAGGCAGCCUUC
RNAcentral lists this ribosomal RNA (691 nucleotides) under uncultured Psychrobacter sp. RNAcentral's name for it is "bacterial SSU rRNA". It matches the Rfam family "Bacterial small subunit ribosomal RNA", at positions 45 to 729 of the family's 1533-position model. Lineage: Bacteria; Pseudomonadati; Pseudomonadota; Gammaproteobacteria; Moraxellales; Moraxellaceae. The record is from RNAcentral.